AUGGGUAUGCUGAAAUUGGUAGACAGGUCCCGCUUAGGACGGGGUGAAAUUAAUUCAUAUAAGUUCGAGUCUUAUUACCCAUA
Molecule: non-coding RNA, 83 nt
Organism: Stemphylium lycopersici
Lineage: Eukaryota; Fungi; Ascomycota; Dothideomycetes; Pleosporales; Pleosporaceae
Source: Rfam